Molecule: ribosomal RNA, 461 nt
Filed under: uncultured bacterium
Lineage: Bacteria
Description: bacterial SSU rRNA
Rfam family: Bacterial small subunit ribosomal RNA
Source: RNAcentral
GAUGAACGUUGGCGGCGUGCCUAAUACAUGCAAGUCGAACGAGGACUGUAGUAAUACUGUCUUAGUGGCGAACGGGUGAGUAACGCGUGGGUGACCUGCCCCGAAGUGUGGGAUAACAGUCCGAAAGGAUUGCUAAUACUGCAUAAUAUCCAAGAGAUUAGACGCUUUUGGAUUAAAGGAUUUAUUCGCUUCGAGAGGAGCCUGCGUCCCAUCAGCUGGUUGGUAGGGUAAAGGCCUACCAAGGCAAUGACGGGUAGGGGACCUGAGAGGGUCGGCCCCCCACAAUGGAACUGAAACACGGUCCAUACACCUACGGGUGGCAGCAGUAGGGAAUAUUAGAAAUGGACGAAAGUCUGAUCUAGCAACACCGCGUGUGCGAAGAAGGCCUUCGGGUCGUAAAGCACUUUUUGGAAGGAAUAGGAAGGAAUGUACUUCCAGAAUAAGUCUCGGCUAACUACGUG